Molecule: ribosomal RNA, 472 nt
Filed under: uncultured Alphaproteobacteria bacterium
Lineage: Bacteria; Pseudomonadati; Pseudomonadota; Alphaproteobacteria
Description: bacterial SSU rRNA
Rfam family: Bacterial small subunit ribosomal RNA
Source: RNAcentral
CGCCCUUGAGUUUGAUCAUGGCUCAGAACGAACGCUGGCGGCAGGCUUAACACAUGCAAGUCGAACGCCCCGCAAGGGGAGUGGCAGACGGGUGACUAACACGUGGGAACGUGCCCUAAGGUUUGGAAUAUUCCCGGGAAACUGGGAGCAAUACCAAAUGUGUCCGCAAGGAGAAAGAUUUAUCGCCUUAGGAUCGGCCCGCGUCAGAUUAGGUAGUUGGUGGGGUAAUGGCCUACCAAGCCGACGAUCUGUAGCUGGUCUGAGAGGACGACCAGCCACACUGGGACUGAGACACGGCCCAGACUCCUACGGGAGGCAGCAGUGGGGAAUCUUGGACAAUGGGCGCAAGCCUGAUCCAGCCAUGCCGCGUGGAUGAUGAAGGCCCUAGGGUUGUUUUUUUUUUUCGUUGGGGACGAUAAUGACGGUACCCAAAGAAGAAGCUCCGGCUAACUUCGUGCCAGCAGCCGCGGUA